UACGUAGGAUCCAAGCGUUAUCCGGAUUUAUUGGGUUUAAAGGGUGCGUAGGCGGCCUAUUAAGUCAGGGGUGAAAGACGGUAGCUUAACUAUCGCAGUGCCUUUGAUACUGAUGGGCUUGAAUGUACUUGAGGUAGGCGGAAUGUGACAAGUAGCGGUGAAAUGCAUAGAGAUGUCACAGAACACCAAUUGCGAAGGCAGCUUACUAAAGUAUGAUUGACGCUGAGGCACGAAAGCGUGGGGAUCAAACAGG
Molecule: ribosomal RNA, 253 nt
Filed under: uncultured bacterium
Lineage: Bacteria
Description: partial 16S ribosomal RNA
Rfam family: Bacterial small subunit ribosomal RNA
Source: RNAcentral